GUAUAGGUUUAAUGACUGCGACUAGCACAAUCUUUAAAAGACAUUCUGUAACUUUAUAGUGUAUAUGAAAACAUAGCCCUUCAGAAAAAGCAAAAGCAGGGGAAGGGCUCACGCCCAAAGUCCCCCAAACCGCAUUGCUGCGAGAGUUAUCACUUCUUUGAAAGACUACAAAAGGUGCACAAGAGAAGAUAAAUAGUUAUGGAUCGAGCACAUGCUCAGUGAAGAGCCAGCAUCAGAACCAAACGUAUUCAAUAAUGAUCCUUCCGCAGGUUCACCUACGGAAA
RNAcentral lists this unclassified non-coding RNA (284 nucleotides) under uncultured fungus. RNAcentral's name for it is "sequence contains ITS1". The record is from RNAcentral. Lineage: Eukaryota; Fungi.